RNAcentral lists this ribosomal RNA (443 nucleotides) under uncultured bacterium. Its description in RNAcentral is "partial 16S ribosomal RNA". It matches the Rfam family "Bacterial small subunit ribosomal RNA", at positions 338 to 795 of the family's 1533-position model. The record is from RNAcentral.
CCUACGGGUGGCAGUAGUGGGGAAUAUUGCACAAUGGACGAACGCCUGAUGCAGCAACGCCGCGUGAAUGAAGAAGGGUUUCGGCUCGUAAACUUCUAUCAUCAGGGACGAAAGAAAUGAUGGUACCUGAAUAAGAAGCCCCGGCUAACUACGUGCCAGCAGCCGCGGUAAUACGUAGGGGGCAAGCGUUAUCCGGAAUGACUGUGUGUAAAGGGUGCGUAGGGGGCAUGGCAAGUUGGAUGUGAAACCCUUGGGCUUAACCCGGGAAUGUCAGUUGGAACUAUCAGACUUGAGUACAGGAGAGGAAAACGGAAUUGCUAGUGUAGCGGUGAAAUGCGUAGAUAUUAGGAAGAACACCAGUGGCGAAGGCGACUUGCUGGACUGAAACUGACGCUGAGGCACGAAAGCGUGGGGAGCGAACAGGAUUAGAUACCCGAGUAGUC